Molecule: ribosomal RNA, 1332 nt
Filed under: metagenome
Description: bacterial SSU rRNA
Rfam family: Bacterial small subunit ribosomal RNA
Source: RNAcentral
AAAGCGAGGAUGAUUAAAGGCGGGGAUCCUUCGGGACCUGUCGUUCGGAGAGGAGCCCGCGUGCCAUCAGCUUGUUGGUAAGGUAACGGCUUACCAAGGCUUACGGCUAGCUGGUCUGAGAGGAUGAUCAGCCACACUGGGACUGAGACACUGCCCAGACUCCUACGGGAGGCUGCAGUCGAGGAUCAUUCGCAAUGCGCGAAAGCGUGACGAUGCGACGCUGCGUGGAGGAUGAAGGCCCUAGGGUCGUAAACUCCUGUCAUUCGGGAAAAACGAGCUCAUGGUUAAUAGCCAUGGGCAGUGAUGGUACCGAAAGAGGAAGCCACGGCUAACUCUGUGCCAGCAGCCGCGGUAAUACAGAGGUGGCGAGCGUUGUUCGGAUUUACUGGGCGUAAAGGGUGCGUAGGUGGUUAUGUAUGUCGGAUGUGAAAGCCCACGGCUCAACCGUGGAAUGGCAUUCGAAACUGCAUAACUUGAGUACAGGAGGGGAGAGCGGAAUUCUUGGUGUAGCGGUGAAAUGCGUUGAUAUCAAGAAGAACACCGGUGGCGAAGGCGGCUCUCUGGAAUGUUACUGACACUGAGGCACGAAAGCUGGGGGAGCGAACAGGAUUAGAUACCCUGGUAGUCCCAGCCGUAAACGGUGUCGACUUGGUGUGGGGGGAAUUGACCCCCUCCGUGCCGGAGCUAACGCGUUAAGUCGACCGCCUGGGGAGUACGGCCGCAAGGCUAAAACUCAAAGAAAUUGACGGGGGCCCGCACAAGCGGAGGAGCAUGUGGCUUAAUUCGAUGCAACGCGAAGAACCUUACCAGGGCUUGACAUAUACCUGCACGCCCCGUGAAAGCGGGGUUCCUUCGAGGGUGGUAUACAGGUGCUGCAUGGCUGUCGUCAGUUCGUGCCGUGAGGUGUUGGGUUAAGUCCCGCAACGAACGCAACCCCUGUGUUUAGUUGCUACCAGGUAAUGCUGGGCACUCUAAACAGACUGCCUGUACAAGCAGGAGGAAGGUGGGGACGACGUCAAGUCAGUAUGGCCCUUACGCCCUGGGCUGCACACGUGCUACAAUGGUCGGUACAGAGGGAAGCAAUAUCGCGAGGUGGAGCUAAUCCUGAAAGCCGGUCCCAGUUCGGAUUGGAGUCUGCAACUCGACUCCAUGAAGUUGGAUUCGCUAGUAACGGCGUAUCAGCUACGACGCCGUGAAUACGUUCCCGGGCCUUGUACACACCGCCCGUCACAUCAUGAAAGCCGUCUGCACCCGAAGUCGCUGAGCCAACCAUUUAUUUGGAGGCAGGCGCCGAAGGUGUGGGUGUGAUUGGGAUGAAGUCGUAACAAGGUA